GUAGGUGGCAAGCGUUGUCCGGAAUUAUUGGGCGUAAAGCGCGCGCAGGCGGUUCUUUAAGUCUGAUGUGAAAGCCCACGGCUCAACCGUGGAGGGUCAUUGGAAACUGGAGAACUUGAGUACAGAAGAGGAAAGCGGAAUUCCACGUGUAGCGGUGAAAUGCGUAGAGAUGUGGAGGAACACCAGUGGCGAAGGCGGCUUUCUGGUCUGUAACUGACGCUGAGGCGCGCAAGCGUGGGGGGGAGCAAACAGGAUUAGAUACCCUGGUAGUCCACGCCGUAAACGAUGAGUGCUAAGUGUUAGGGGGUUUCCGCCCCCCCCUUAGUGCUGCAGCUAACGCAUUAAGCACUCCGCCUGGGGAGUACGGCCGCAAGGCUG
Molecule: ribosomal RNA, 378 nt
Filed under: uncultured organism
Description: partial 16S ribosomal RNA
Rfam family: Bacterial small subunit ribosomal RNA
Source: RNAcentral